RNAcentral lists this ribosomal RNA (500 nucleotides) under Grammomys sp. RNAcentral's name for it is "partial small subunit ribosomal RNA". It matches the Rfam family "Bacterial large subunit ribosomal RNA", at positions 1859 to 2579 of the family's 2925-position model. Lineage: Eukaryota; Metazoa; Chordata; Mammalia; Rodentia; Muridae. The record is from RNAcentral.
CUGCCCAGUGACUUCUAAGUUAAACGGCCGCGGUAUUCUGACCGUGCAAAGGUAGCAUAAUCAUUUGUUCCCCAAUUAGGGACUAGUAUGAAUGGCUAGACGAGGAUUCAACUGUCUCUUAUUCCCAAUCAGUGAAAUUGACCUUCCAGUGAAGAGGCUGGAAUAAAACAACAAGACGAGAAGACCCUAUGGAGCUUUAAUUAACUAGCCUAAUUAUAAUACUCACACCCUAAUGGCACAAAACCAUAAACAUUAAGCUAACAAUUUUGGUUGGGGUGACCUCGGAGAACAAAAAAUCCUCCGAAUGAUUAUAGCACAGACAAACAAGUCAAAGCAAUCCGCUAUAUCUAAUUGACCCAAAAUACUUUGACCAACGGACCAAGUUACCCUAGGAAUAACAGCGCAAUCCUAUUUAAGAGUCCAUAUCGACAAUUAGGGUUUACGACCUCGAUGUUGGAUCAGGACACCCCAAUGGUGCAGAAGCUAUUAAGGUUCGUUUG